GGAUGGGUGACCUCCCGGGA
This 20-nucleotide small RNA is filed under the name Arabidopsis thaliana (thale cress). RNAcentral's name for it is "Ath_wt_19403". Lineage: Eukaryota; Viridiplantae; Streptophyta; Magnoliopsida; Brassicales; Brassicaceae. The record is from RNAcentral.